UUUUGAGGGUUGCACCCAUGGUAUAUGCAGUUUCCCAGGCUAGGGGUCUAAUAGGAGGUAUAGCUGCCGGCCUACACCACAGCCAUGUCAGAUCCAAGCCACGUCUACGACCUACACCACAGCUCACGGCAAUGCCAGAUCCUUGACCCACUGAGAGAAGCCAGGGAUUGAACUUGCAUCCUCAUGGUUCCUAGUCAGAUUUGUUUCUGCUGCACCACAAUGGGAAUUCCAGGUUUGGGUUUUAAUGCCCACAUAGGGAAAGGGGAAGCCUUAGGAUCCAAACAAGAUAGGGAACAGAGAAUGAGAUAGUCUCUAAUAACAUCUGGAUCCUUAAAGGACUAUACUUCAGUAAAAGGUGAUCUAGGGGGAAAAUCCACUUACUGUAAGAGAGAGAAAACCUAAGAAAUUGUUUUACAUAAAGCCCUGUGUGGAGGAAGAUUAUGCCUUUUUAUUUAUAAGCAGCCUCACACAGGUUGGGAAUUUGAAAUUACACUACUACAUGAUCCAAGAAACCUUUAACCAAUAAAACAUCAGGAAAAGUGGCUCUGGGUCAGUAGUAUCCCGGGGGAAUUUUUUUUUCUUUUUAGGGCCACACCUACAGCAUAUGGAAGUUCCCGGGCUAGGGGUCAAAUCGGGGAUGCAGCUGCUGGCCUAUGCUACAGCCACAGCAACACCAGAUCCAAGCAGCAUCUGUGAACUAUGCUGCAUCUUAUGGCAACGCCGGAUCCUUAACCCAAUGAGCGAGGAUCCAGCAUUGCCAUGAAAUGUGGUGUUGCAGAUGCAGCUCAGAUCCAGCAUUGCUGUGGCUGUAGCAUAAGCCUCAGCUGCAGCUCCAAUUUGAUCCCUAGCCUGGAAAUUCCAUAUGCCAUGGGUGUAGCUGUAAAAAGAAAAAAAAAUGAGUAUGCUUAAAAGGGAUGACUUGUAACAUUAAGAAUGAUGGUAAGCCCAGAAACAAGACUGUGGUAAGCUGAAUAAUGUCCCCACCACAGAUGUUCACAUCCUAAACCCUGGAACCUGUUGAUAUGUCUCUUAUACAGCAAGAGGGACUCUGCAGGUAUGAUUAAAUUAAGGAUCUUGAGAUGGGGAGAUUAUCCUAGAUUAUCCUGCAAUGUCAUCAGAAAGGUACUUAAAAAAAGAAAGCAGAAGGGUCAAAGUCAGGGAAGAUUUGAAGAUGGAAGCAGAGGUCAGAGUCAUGCCACUCCUGGAAGGGGGUCACAAGCCAAGUAAUACAGGGGCGUUUAUAAGCUAAAAAAGACAAGAAACAGAUUUUCUCCUAGAGUCCCAAGAAAUGCAGCCCUACCUGUUUUAGACUUCUGACCUCCAGGACAAUAACACAUUUGUGUUGUUUUAAGCUACUAAGUUAUGGUGAUUUGUUAUGGCAUCAAUAGUGAACUAAUAAAACGGCCUAUAAGUAUAUGGGUGUGAUUAUGACAGGGGUGGCAUUACAGACCAGUGGGGACAGAAUAGACCA
RNAcentral lists this long non-coding RNA (1471 nucleotides) under Sus scrofa (pig). RNAcentral's name for it is "lncRNA (ENSSSCG00015045934.1)". The record is from RNAcentral. Lineage: Eukaryota; Metazoa; Chordata; Mammalia; Artiodactyla; Suidae.